Molecule: long non-coding RNA, 594 nt
Filed under: Papio anubis (olive baboon)
Lineage: Eukaryota; Metazoa; Chordata; Mammalia; Primates; Cercopithecidae
Description: lncRNA (ENSPANG00000043355.1)
Source: RNAcentral
CUUUUGUAAAUCUAACACAUAUACUUUUAUCAGCAUGCCUAAUAUGUCUAUGUAUUUAUAUGUUAUGUACACCAUGUUUCACUACUGAAAAUAGGUAAAAGAGCUCUAAUUAAUUGGCUUAAGAAAAUAAAAGUGCUUGGGCCGGGCGCGGUGGCUCAAGCCUGUAAUCCCAGCACUUUGGGAGGCCGAGACGGGCGGAUCACGAGGUCAGGAGAUCGAGACCAGCCUGGCUAACACGGUGAAACCCCGUCUCUACUAAAAAAAUACAAAAAACUAGCCGGGCGCGGUGGCCGGCGCCUGUAGUCCCAGCUACUCGGGAGGCUGAGGCAGGAGAAUGGCGUGAACCCGGGAGGCGGAGCUUGCAGGAGAAUGGCGUGAACCCGGGAGGCGGAGCUUGCAGUGAGCUGAGAUCCGGCCACUGCACUCCAGCCUGGGUGACAGAGCCAGACUCCGUCUCAAAAAAAAAAAAAAAAAAAAAACCACAAACAAACCAGAAAGUGACUGGCAUUGACAAGCAGAUAUCCCCAUGUACUCCCUUGAAGUGGCCACUUGGGCCUUUGAAAUGAGCGGAUAUGGGUGUAUUGUAACAGGGCA